UACGUAGGGUGCGAGCGUUAAUCGGAAUUGCUGGGCGUAAAGCGUGCGCAGGCGGCGCGUUAAGACAGGUGUGAAAGCCCCGAGCUUAACUUGGGAAUUGCGCUUGUGACUGGCGGGCUGGAGUGUGGCAGAGGGAGGUGGAAUUCCACGUGUAGCAGUGAAAUGCGUAGAGAUGUGGAGGAACACCGAUGGCGAAGGCAGCCUCCUGGGCCAGCACUGACGCUCAUGCACGAAAGCGUGGGGAGCAAACAGG
This 253-nucleotide ribosomal RNA is filed under the name uncultured bacterium. RNAcentral describes it as "partial 16S ribosomal RNA". It matches the Rfam family "Bacterial small subunit ribosomal RNA", at positions 524 to 776 of the family's 1533-position model. The record is from RNAcentral.